UUGCGGUUAAAAAGCUCGUAGUUGGAUUUCUGUCAGUGAGUUGCAGUCCGCCCCCAGCGGUAGGUACUUGCUACGCCACUGGCAUCUUCCUGGGGAAUGUGUCUGCUCUUUAUUGAGUGGCGCACUAUCCAGGACUUUUACUUUGAAGAAAUGAGAGUGUUUCAAGCAGGCAUGCGCCGUGAAUACGUUAGCAUGGGAUAAUAGCAUCGGACCUCGUUCCAAAGCUGUUGGUUUCUUGGACCGAGGUAAAGGUGAAUAGGGAUUGUUGGGGGCAUUCGUAUUUGACUGUCAGAGGUGAAAUUCUUGGAUUUGUUGAAGACGGACUACUGCGAAAGCAUCUGCCAAAGAUGUUCUCAUUGAUCAAGAACGAAAGUUAGGUGAUCGAAGACGAUCAGAUACCGUCCUAGUCUUAACCAUAAACUAUGCCGACUGGAGAUCGGGGGUCGUUAAUUAUGUGACGCCCUCUGCAUCUUGAGAGAAAUCAAAGUCUUUGGGUUCCGGGGGGAGUAUGGUCGCAAGGCUGAAACUUAAAGGAAUUGACGGAAGGGCACCACCAGGAGUGGAGCCUGCGGCUUAAUUUGACUCAACACGGGGAAACUUACCAGGUCCAGACAUAGUAAGGAUUGACAGACUGAUAGCUCU
This 642-nucleotide ribosomal RNA is filed under the name uncultured marine eukaryote. Its description in RNAcentral is "SSU rRNA". It matches the Rfam family "Eukaryotic small subunit ribosomal RNA", at positions 613 to 1258 of the family's 1831-position model. The record is from RNAcentral.